GACGGAGGGUGCGAGCGUUAAUCGGAAUUACUGGGCGUAAAGCGCAUGUAGGCGGCCGAACAAGUCAGGUGUGAAAUCCUCGGGCUUAACCUGGGAAGUGCACUUGAUACUGUCCGGCUAGAGUUUGGCAGAGGAAAGUAGAAUUCCCGGUGUAGCGGUGAAAUGCGUAGAUAUCGGGAGGAAUACCAGUGGCGAAGGCGGCUUUCUGGGCCAAUACUGACGCUGAGGUGCGAAAGCGCGGGCAGCAAACUGG
RNAcentral lists this ribosomal RNA (253 nucleotides) under uncultured bacterium. RNAcentral describes it as "partial 16S ribosomal RNA". It matches the Rfam family "Bacterial small subunit ribosomal RNA", at positions 524 to 776 of the family's 1533-position model. The record is from RNAcentral.